CACCGAGCCACCUCAGCCACCGGUCACUUCACUCCACAUCCAGAGCGGUUGGACCAACGGAGAGGCGGCGGCGGCGGCCGGACCAAGGCACGGCCAUGGAUCUGGAAGGGAAGAUCUGCAAGCUGGCUGCACGUGCAGCGGCCACCUCGCCGGCGCUGGUGAGGAAGGCUGUGGGGGGGCACUGGAGCGCAGCAGCGCCGCCCGCGCGGCCGCCGACGUCCUGAUCUAUCAGUUCCUGUCCGCUGUCUUCAUCUUCUUCGCGACCGGCUUCUUGAACCUCGUCGCGGUCGAGGCCUGCGGCGGGAAGAACUGCACCGUCGUCUCCAUCCUGUUCGCGCUCUCGUAAACUUCCGGCAUGAUCGCCCUGCUUCUCUUAGCGCCGGCGUGCGUGCUCUUCUUCCUGCGCGCCGCGUGCAGCAGCAGCGACAGCGAGGUCAAGGAAGAGAAUGAGGUCGAGGAUCGCUCUGAGAUCUUCCCGUGGCCCCUGAUCUGGCCGGUGCAAGGGUUCAUCACCGUGGCGACGUUGGCGGCACCCAUCGCCUUCGUUCUUCAGAUGUGUGGAUUUCGAGAGGCUUCUUACUUAAUCUGCGUCGCGGCUGUGUUGUGCUCGGUCCUACUCCUCGCCCUCUUCUACAUCGCUGCUGCCGUGGCGAUCUGGAGGAUGAGUCCUCAACAGCGCAGCAUCGCUGGCAUGCUCAGGAUGAGUCUCAGGCUAGCGACUAACAAGGUGGCGGAGUAGCCCAGCUUCACCUACGUACUCAGGUGCACAGGAAGAAUUUCGAGGUGGCCGCAGAAGAUGAUGGAGAUCGAGUACUACUAUACUACUACCAGUGCAGGAGUGCUUCUGUUUCCUAGCUACUACUACGGUACUACCUAUAUAUGUUGCUCUUGUGAACAAUUAAGAGAUGGACAGGUCGAUCGUGUGAUGCGUAGUUAUGUAGUAUCUAGUAGUAUAUAACUUAGUCUCAGUAAGCUUGAUUCGAUGCGAGGUCAGAGCUGUCACUAUGGCUGUUUGGUUAAUAAUAUGAAGUCUGAACCGGACCUCUAGCAUGGGUUAUAUUUACCUUA
This is a non-coding RNA of Aegilops tauschii subsp. strangulata, 1068 nucleotides long. NCBI's taxonomy places the organism in Eukaryota, Viridiplantae, Streptophyta, Magnoliopsida, Poales, Poaceae. The record is from RefSeq and is a predicted model, not a curated record.